This 801-nucleotide ribosomal RNA is filed under the name uncultured bacterium. RNAcentral's name for it is "bacterial SSU rRNA". It matches the Rfam family "Bacterial small subunit ribosomal RNA", at positions 8 to 798 of the family's 1533-position model. The record is from RNAcentral.
AGAGUUUGAUCAUGGCUCAGAUUGAACGCUGGCGGCAGGCUUAACACAUGCAAGUCGAACGGUAACAGAAAGUAGCUUGCUACUUUGCUGACGAGUGGCGGACGGGUGAGUAAUGCUUGGGAAUAUGCCUUAUGGUGGGGGACAACAGUUGGAAACGACUGCUAAUACCGCAUAACAUCUCCUGAUCAAAGUGGGGGACCUUCGGGCCUCACGCCAUAAGAGUAGCCCAAGUGGGAUUAGCUAGUUGGUAAGGUAAUGGCUUACCAAGGCGACGAUCCCUAGUUGGUCUUAGAGGAUGACCAGCCACACUGGAACUGAGACACGGUCCAGACUCCUACGGGAGGCAGCAGUGGGGAAUAUUGCACAAUGGGCGCAAGCCUGAUGCAGCCAUGCCGCGUGUGUGAAGAAGGCUUUCGGGUUGUAAAGCACUUUCAGCGAGGAGGAAAGGGUAUUGCUUAAUAGGUAAUAUCUGUGACGUUACUCGCAGAAGAAGCACCGGCUAACUCCGUGCCAGCAGCCGCGGUAAUACGGAGGGUGCGAGCGUUAAUCGGAAUUACUGGGCGUAAAGCGCGCGUAGGUGGUUAAUUAAGUCAGAUGUGAAAUCCCAGGGCUCAACCUUGGAACUGCAUUUGAAACUGGUUAACUAGAGUUUUGUAGAGGGUGGUAGAAUUUCAGGUGUAGCGGUGAAAUGCGUAGAGAUCUGAAGGAAUACCAGUGGCGAAGGCGGCCACCUGGACAAAGACUGACACUGAGGCGCGAAGGCGUGGGGAGCAAACGGGAUUAGAUACCCCGGUAGUCCAA